This 214-nucleotide long non-coding RNA is filed under the name Elaeis guineensis (African oil palm). Its description in RNAcentral is "long non-coding RNA (EGUI_LNC007315)". Lineage: Eukaryota; Viridiplantae; Streptophyta; Magnoliopsida; Arecales; Arecaceae. The record is from RNAcentral.
GUGGUAUUUGCGUAACGUCAUAAUCAAUCAUCGCCAUAAAUAGGGUACCGACGUUUGUGAGAACCAUCACCAUAAAAGCUAACAACGCUUACUUAAACGAUGUUUAUUCGAUGUUUGUUAAAAACGUCGAUAUAGAGAUAUUAUGAUGUUUGUAUGGUCUUUUGCAUCAUUUGUUGAAUGUCGUCAUAAAUCUUUUUUAUUGUAGUGGCUGAUU